This 18-nucleotide small nuclear RNA is filed under the name Arabidopsis thaliana (thale cress). RNAcentral describes it as "snRNA_17551". The record is from RNAcentral. Lineage: Eukaryota; Viridiplantae; Streptophyta; Magnoliopsida; Brassicales; Brassicaceae.
AGAGCCCCGUCGUGCCCG